GCGACCGUGGUGUAGCGGUUAGCAUUGGUGCCUUCCAUCUAAUAAAUUGGUAGCACUAGAUCGGGGUUCGACUCCCCGCGGUCGCA
This is a non-coding RNA of Fusarium poae, 86 nucleotides long. Lineage: Eukaryota; Fungi; Ascomycota; Sordariomycetes; Hypocreales; Nectriaceae. The record is from Rfam.